CAGAACGAACGCUGGCGGCAGGCCUAACACGAUGCAAGUCGAGCGCGCCCUUCGGGGUGAGCGGCGGACGGGUUAGUAACGCGUGGGAACGUACCCUUUGGUAGGGAAUAGCCACUGGAAACGGUGAGUAAUACCCUAUGAGCCCUUCGGGGGAAAGAUUUUAUCGCCAAAGGAUCGGCCCGCGUUAGAUUAGGUAGUUGGUGGGGUAAUGGCCUACCAAGCCUACGAUCUAUAGCUGGUUUUAGAGGAUGAUCAGCAACACUGGGACUGAGACACGGCCCAGACUCCUACGGGAGGCAGCAGUGGGGAAUCUUGGACAAUGGGGGCAACCCUGAAUCCAGCCAUGCCGCGUGAGUGAAGAAGGCCUUAGGGUCGUAAAGCUCUUUCGCCUGUGAAGAUAAUGACGGUAGCAGGUAAAGAAACCCCGGCUAACUCCGUGCCAGCCGCCGC
This 450-nucleotide ribosomal RNA is filed under the name uncultured bacterium. RNAcentral's name for it is "bacterial SSU rRNA". It matches the Rfam family "Bacterial small subunit ribosomal RNA", at positions 25 to 518 of the family's 1533-position model. The record is from RNAcentral.